AUUGAACGCUGGCGGCAGGCUUAACACAUGCAAGUCGAGCGGGGGAAGGUAGCUUGCUACCGGACCUAGCGGCGGACGGGUGAGUAAUGCUUAGGAAUCUGCCUAUUAGUGGGGGACAACAUCUCGAAAGGGAUGCUAAUACCGCAUACGUCCUACGGGAGAAAGCAGGGGAUCUUCGGACCUUGCGCUCAUAGAUGAGCCUAAGUCGGAUUAGCUAGUUGGUGGGGUAAAGGCCUACCAAGGCGACGAUCUGUAGCGGGUCUGAGAGGCUGAUCCGCCACACUGGGACUGAGCCACGGCCCAGACUCCUACGGGAGGCAGCAGUGGGAAAUAUUGGACAAUGGGGGGAACCCUGAUCCAGCCAUGCCGCGUGUGUGAAGAAGGCCUUAUGGUUGUAAAGCACUUUAAGCGAGGAGGAGGCUACUCUAGUUAAUACCUAGGGAUAGUGGUCGUUACUCGCAGAAUAAGCACCGGCUAACUCUGUGCCAGCCGCCGCCGUCA
This 501-nucleotide ribosomal RNA is filed under the name uncultured bacterium. Its description in RNAcentral is "partial 16S ribosomal RNA". It matches the Rfam family "Bacterial small subunit ribosomal RNA", at positions 30 to 523 of the family's 1533-position model. The record is from RNAcentral.